RNAcentral lists this ribosomal RNA (428 nucleotides) under uncultured prokaryote. Its description in RNAcentral is "bacterial SSU rRNA". It matches the Rfam family "Bacterial small subunit ribosomal RNA", at positions 355 to 776 of the family's 1533-position model. The record is from RNAcentral. RNAcentral also lists the same sequence under 1 other name.
UAGGGAAUUUUCGUCAAUGGGGGGAACCCUGAACGAGCAAUGCCGCGUGAGUGAAGACGGUCUUCGGAUUGUAAAGCUCUGUUGCGAGAGAAAAAGGACGGGGUCAGGAAAUGGGCCCCGGAUGAUGGUAUCUCGCCAGAAAGUCACGGCUAACUACGUGCCAGCAGCCGCGGUAAUACGUAGGUGGCGAGCGUUAUCCGGAAUGAUUGGGCGUAAAGGGUGCGUAGGCGGCACGAUCAGUCUGGAGUGAAAGGCUGCAGCUCAACUGCAGUAUGCUCUGGAAACUGUCGAGCUAGAGUACAGAAGAGGGCGAUGGAACUCCAUGUGUAGCGGUAAAAUGCGUAGAUAUAUGGAAGAACACCGGUGGCGAAGGCGGUCGCCUGGUCUGCUACUGACGCUGAAGCACGAAAGCGUGGGGAGCAAAUAGG